UCUUUCGGGAUCUACAGAGCGGCGUACGGGUGCGGAAGACGGGUGCAACCUGCCUUUAUCAGGGGGAUAGCCUUUCGAAAGGAAGAUUAAUACCCCAUAAUAUUUAGAAUGGCAUCGUUUUAAAUUGAAAACUCCGGUGGAUAGAGAUGGGCGACCGCAAGAUUAGAUAGUUGGUGAGGUAACGGCUCACCAAGUCUGCGAUCUUUAGGGGGCUUGAGAGGGUGAUCCCCCACACUGGUACUGAGACACGGACCAGACUCCUACGGGAGGCAGCAGUGAGGAAUAUUGGACAAUGGGUGAGAGCCUGAUCCAGCCAUCCCGCGUGAAGGACGACGGCCCUAUGGGUUGUAAACUUCUUUUGUACAGGGAUAAACCUACCCUCGUGAGGGUAGCUGAAGGUACUGUACGAAUAAGCACCGGCUAACUCCGUGCCAGCAGCCGCGGUAAUACGGAGGGUGCAAGCGUUAUCCGGAUUUAUUGGGUUUAAAGGGUCCGUAGGCGGAUGUGUAAGUCAGUGGUGAAAUCUCACAGCUUAACUGUGAAACUGCCAUUGAUACUGCAUGUCUUGA
RNAcentral lists this ribosomal RNA (569 nucleotides) under uncultured Bacteroidota bacterium. RNAcentral describes it as "bacterial SSU rRNA". It matches the Rfam family "Bacterial small subunit ribosomal RNA", at positions 76 to 645 of the family's 1533-position model. Lineage: Bacteria; Pseudomonadati; Bacteroidota. The record is from RNAcentral.